RNAcentral lists this long non-coding RNA (264 nucleotides) under Malus domestica (apple). RNAcentral describes it as "long non-coding RNA (MDOM_LNC018830)". The record is from RNAcentral. Lineage: Eukaryota; Viridiplantae; Streptophyta; Magnoliopsida; Rosales; Rosaceae.
ACCAUGCAUACCCCAUAAAAUUCAUCAAUGCCGUGGCCUUCCCUUUGUUUUACUUCCACCAGAUUUUUUAGUGGAUGAUGUAAUGCUUAACUCACCAUGACAUUUGAGUGGAUGAUGCAAUGCUUAACUCACCAUGACAUGUGAGUGGAUGACUCAAAACCUACCCUCACCAACAAUUCUCCACCUUGCCAUACCUUACCUACUUCAUUCCACCAGAUUUUUGCAUUAAACAUGUCCAUCCUCUUCCUAUAAAUACCAUGGCAG